ACCCAAGGGAUGGCUCAGUUGGUAGAGCACGAGCCUUUUAAUCUGAGGGUCAUGGGUUCGAACCCUACCUUGAGCA
Podarcis lilfordi (Lilford's wall lizard) is the source of this 76-nucleotide non-coding RNA. The record is from the annotation of a GenBank genome assembly. NCBI's taxonomy places the organism in Eukaryota, Metazoa, Chordata, Lepidosauria, Squamata, Lacertidae.